CCUACGGGUGGCAGCAGUGGGGAAUAUUGCACAAUGGGCGCAAGCCUGAUGCAGCCAUGCCGCGUGUGUGAAGAAGGCCUUCGGGUUGUAAAGCACUUUCAGCGGGGAGGAAGGCGGUGAGGUUAAUAACCUCAUCGAUUGACGUUACCCGCAGAAGAAGCACCGGCUAACUCCGUGCCAGCAGCCGCGGUAAUACGGAGGGUGCAAGCGUUAAUCGGAAUUACUGGGCGUAAAGCGCACGCAGGCGGUCUGUCAAGUCGGAUGUGAAAUCCCCGGGCUCAACCUGGGAACUGCAUUCGAAACUGGCAGGCUAGAGUCUUGUAGAGGGGGGUAGAAUUCCAGGUGUAGCGGUGAAAUGCGUAGAGAUCUGGAGGAAUACCGGUGGCGAAGGCGGCCCCCUGGACAAAGACUGACGCUCAGGUGCGAGAGCGUGGGGAGCAAACAGGAUUAGAUACCCUAGUAGUC
Molecule: ribosomal RNA, 465 nt
Filed under: uncultured Klebsiella sp.
Lineage: Bacteria; Pseudomonadati; Pseudomonadota; Gammaproteobacteria; Enterobacterales; Enterobacteriaceae
Description: bacterial SSU rRNA
Rfam family: Bacterial small subunit ribosomal RNA
Source: RNAcentral